This 253-nucleotide ribosomal RNA is filed under the name uncultured bacterium. RNAcentral describes it as "partial 16S ribosomal RNA". It matches the Rfam family "Bacterial small subunit ribosomal RNA", at positions 524 to 776 of the family's 1533-position model. The record is from RNAcentral.
UACGUAGGGUGCGAGCGUUAAUCGGAAUUACUGGGCGUAAAGCGUGCGCAGGCGGUUGUGCAAGACCGAUGUGAAAUCCCCGGGCUUAACCUGGGAAUGGCAUUGGUGACUGCACGGCUAGAGUGUGUCAGAGGGGGGUAGAAUUCCACGUGUAGCAGUGAAAUGCGUAGAGAUGUGGAGGAACACCGAUGGCGAAGGCAGCCCCCUGGGUCAAGACUGACGCUCAUGCACGAAAGCGUGGGGAGCAAACAGG